RNAcentral lists this ribosomal RNA (504 nucleotides) under uncultured bacterium. Its description in RNAcentral is "partial 16S ribosomal RNA". It matches the Rfam family "Bacterial small subunit ribosomal RNA", at positions 30 to 523 of the family's 1533-position model. The record is from RNAcentral.
AUUGAACGCUGGCGGCAGGCCUAACACAUGCAAGUCGAACGGUAGCAAAGAGAGCUUGCUCUCGGGUGACGAGUGGCGGACGGGUGAGUAACGUCUGGGAAACUGCCCGAUGGAGGGGGAUAACUACUGGAAACGGUAGCUAAUACCGAAUAACGUCGCAAGACCAAAGUGGGGGACCUUCGGGCCUAACACCAUCGGAUGUGCCCAGAUGGGAUUAGCUAGUAGGUGGGGUAAUGGCUCACCUAGGCGACGAUCCCUAGCUGGUCUGAGAGGAUGACCGGCCACACUGGAACUGAGACACGGUCCAGACUCCUACGGGAGGCAGCAGUGGGGAAUAUUGCACAAUGGGCGCAAGCCUGAUGCAGCCGUGCCGCGUGUAUGAAGAAGGCCUUCGGGUUGUAAAGUACUUUCAGCGGGGAGGAAGGCGGUGAAGUUAAUAACUUCACCGAUUGACGUUACCCGCAGAAGAAGCACCGGCUAACUCCGUGCCAGCCGCCGCAGUAA